This 443-nucleotide ribosomal RNA is filed under the name uncultured bacterium. RNAcentral's name for it is "partial 16S ribosomal RNA". It matches the Rfam family "Bacterial small subunit ribosomal RNA", at positions 338 to 795 of the family's 1533-position model. The record is from RNAcentral.
CCUACGGGAGGCAGCAGUGGGGAAUAUUGGGCAAUGGGCGCAAGCCUGACGCAGCAACGCCGCGUGAAGGAAGAAGGCUUUCGGGUUGUAAACUUCUUUUCUGAGGGACGAAGAAAGUGACGGUACAUUAGGAAUAAGCCACGGCUAACUAAGUGCCAGCAGACGCGGUAAUAUGUAGGUGGCAAGCGUUAUCCGGAUUUAUUGGGUGUAAAGGGCGUGAAGGCGGGAAAACAAGUCAGAGGUGAAAAGCCAGGGCUCAACCCUGAGCCUGCAUUGGAUACUGUUUAUCUAGAGUGCUGGAGAGGCAAUCGGAAUUCCGGGUGUAGCGGUGAAAUGCGUAGAUAUACGGAGGAACACCAGUGGCGAAGGCGGAUUGCUGGACAGUAACUGACGCUGAGGCGCGAAAGCGUGGGGAGCAAACAGGAUUAGAUACCCCAGUAGUC